Molecule: unclassified non-coding RNA, 728 nt
Filed under: Hevea brasiliensis (rubber tree)
Lineage: Eukaryota; Viridiplantae; Streptophyta; Magnoliopsida; Malpighiales; Euphorbiaceae
Source: RNAcentral
UACGAGGUGAAUUUUUCAUAUGUUGAAGCAGAAGAAAACAAACAAGCCCUGGUGAAAUUGGUAGCCUGUGAGAGAUGUGCAGAAAAGCUUCUUUACAAAAAGAGGAAAGAGAAGGAUCAAUCUAGAGAGGACCUGAAAGAUAAGCAUCGAAGGAGAAGGGGAAGAUCUGCGAGUGAUGAUGAACAUAAGGAUGAUUAUUACGAACGAAGGAGAAGGGGAAGAUCUGUGAGUGAUGAUGAAAAUAAGGAUGAUAAUUACAAACGAAGGAAGAGGGAAAGAUCUGUAAGUGAUGAUGAUACUAAAGGUGAUAAUUACAAACGAAGAAAAGGAAGGAGUAGAGGGUCAAAGGCUCCAACUUCAUCUGAUAAUCAAGAUAAUGAGAAUAUGGAUGAGUAUCUGGAGGGAAUGUUUCCUUGAGACAGGAGGCUACUGAUGUUUUUGUAGAGAUUUUGAAGUCUUCAUUAAAUUUGUUUAGAUUGCAACUAGGUAUUUUUGUCUGGACAACGGAGAGGAAAAUUGGUAGGAAAAGCACAAGUAAUUUCGUAUUUUUGAAAGGCUAGACUGGUUAAGAAAUACACGAAGGAACCUGGAAACGCUGGAAGUGGGGAGCUCAAGUAUUCUAUUGAGUCGUCUCUUCCAUGUAAAAGCAAGAAUUGUAGCAAGUGAUCUUUCUACUUAGUUUUCAACAGUUUUUGUUAAUGAGUAGCUCCUCGGAAUGUAAAUAUAUG